This 430-nucleotide ribosomal RNA is filed under the name uncultured archaeon. RNAcentral describes it as "bacterial SSU rRNA". It matches the Rfam family "Archaeal small subunit ribosomal RNA", at positions 474 to 903 of the family's 1478-position model. The record is from RNAcentral.
UACCAGCUCUCCGAGUGGUAGGGAUGAUUAUUGGGCUUAAAGCGUCCGUAGCCGGCUUAGCAAGUCUCCUGUUAAAUUCAGCGACCUAAUCGUUGAGCCGCGGGAGAUACUACUAGGCUAGGAGGCGGGAGAGGUCAACGGUACUUCCGGGGUAGGGGUGAAAUCCUAUAAUCCCGGGGGGACCACCAGUGGCGAAGGCUGUUGACUAGAACGCGCUCGACGGUGAGGGACGAAAGCUGGGGGAGCGAACCGGAUUAGAUACCCGGGUAGUCCCAGCUGUAAACGAUGCGAGCUAGGUGUUGGGGUGGCUACGUGCCACUUCAGUGCCGCAGGGAAGCCAUUAAGCUCGCCGCCGUGGGGAGUACGGCCGCAAGGCUGAAACUUAAAGGAAUUGGGCGGGGAGCACCACAAGGCGUGAAGCUUGCGGUUC